RNAcentral lists this ribosomal RNA (484 nucleotides) under uncultured bacterium. Its description in RNAcentral is "partial 16S ribosomal RNA". It matches the Rfam family "Bacterial small subunit ribosomal RNA", at positions 30 to 507 of the family's 1533-position model. The record is from RNAcentral.
AUUGAACGCUGGCGGCAGGCCUAACACAUGCAAGUCGAGCGGAUGAAGGGAGCUUGCUCCUGGAUUCAGCGGCGGACGGGUGAGUAAUGCCUAGGAAUCUGCCUGGUAGUGGGGGAUAACGUCCGGAAACGGGCGCUAAUACCGCAUACGUCCUUAGGGAGAAAGUGGGGGAUCUUCGGACCUCACGCUAUCAGGUGAGCCUAGGUCGGAUUAGCUAGUUGGUGGGGUAAAGGCCUACCAAGGCGACGAUCCGUAACUGGUCUGAGAGGAUGAUCAGUCACACUGGAACUGAGACACGGUCCAGACUCCUACGGGAGGCAGCAGUGGGGAAUAUUGGACAAUGGGCGAAAGCCUGAUCCAGCCAUGCCGCGUGUGUGAAGAAGGUCUUCGGAUUGUAAAGCACUUUAGGUUGGGAGGAAGGGCAGUAAGUUAAUACCUUGCUGUUUUGACGUUACCAACAGAAUAAGCACCGGCUAACUUCGUG